RNAcentral lists this ribosomal RNA (492 nucleotides) under uncultured bacterium. Its description in RNAcentral is "partial 16S ribosomal RNA". It matches the Rfam family "Bacterial small subunit ribosomal RNA", at positions 29 to 507 of the family's 1533-position model. The record is from RNAcentral.
AGUGAACGCUGGCGGUAGGCCUAACACAUGCAAGUCGAACGGCAGCACAGUAAGAGCUUGCUCUUACGGGUGGCGAGUGGCGGACGGGUGAGGAAUACAUCGGAAUCUACUUUUUCGUGGGGGAUAACGUAGGGAAACUUACGCUAAUACCGCAUACGACCUACGGGUGAAAGCAGGGGAUCUUCGGACCUUGCGCGAUUGAAUGAGCCGAUGUCGGAUUAGUUGGUUGGCGGGGUAAAGGCCCACCAAGGCGACGAUCCGUAGCUGGUCUGAGAGGAUGAUCAGCCACACUGGAACUGAGACACGGUCCAGACUCCUACGGGAGGCAGCAGUGGGGAAUACUGGACAAUGGGCGCAAGCCUGAUCCAGCCAUACCGCGUGGGUGAAGAAGGCCUUCGGGUUGUAAAGCCCUUUUGUUGGGAAAGAAAAGCAGCAGGUUAAUACCCCGCUGUUCUGACGGUACCCAAAGAAUAAGCACCGGCUAACUUCGUG